RNAcentral lists this long non-coding RNA (282 nucleotides) under Lotus japonicus. Its description in RNAcentral is "long non-coding RNA (LJAP_LNC002223)". Lineage: Eukaryota; Viridiplantae; Streptophyta; Magnoliopsida; Fabales; Fabaceae. The record is from RNAcentral.
CUUGAAGACUCCAAACCGGUAGUUGUGCUCCUCCUCGGUGGCGUAGGUCUUGCCGAACCUGGCCUUGAAGGUGGAGAAGUGGUGCUCGGCGUUGAGCAGGUGAUCUUCGACCUCCGGCACCACCUGACGGAUGAGCAGAUCUUCGGCAUCGUCGAUCACCGCGGCGGUUGCUACGGCGGCGGAGAAGAAGAUGAGAGCCAACAGGAGGAAGGGGCGCGCCUCAGCCAUCUGAUUGGAGAAAAGGAGAGGAAUGGGCAAAUUGAUUGGAAUGGGUUUCGUGCG